GACGAACGCUGGCGGCGUGCUUAACACAUGCAAGUCGAACGGAAAGGCCCUGCUUUUGUGGGGUGCUCGAGUGGCGAACGGGUGAGUAACACGUGAGUAACCUGCCCUUGACUUUGGGAUAACUUCAGGAAACUGGGGCUAAUACCGGAUAGGAGCUCCUGCUGCCUGGUGGGGGUUGGAAAGUUUCGGCGGUUGGGGCUGGACUCGCGGCUUAUCAGCUUGUUGGUGGGGUAUUGGCUUACCAAGGCUUUGACGGGUAGCCGGCCUGAGAGGGUGACCGGCCACAUUGGGACUGAGAUACGGCCCAGACUCCUACGGGAGGCAGCAGGGGGGAAUAUUGCACAAUGGGCGGAAGCCUGAUGCAGAAACGCCGCGUGCGGGAUGACGGCCUUCGGGUUGUAAACCGCUUUCGCCUGUGACGAAGCGUGAGUGACGGUAAUGGGUAAAGAAGCACCGGCUAACUACGUG
This 468-nucleotide ribosomal RNA is filed under the name uncultured bacterium. RNAcentral's name for it is "partial 16S ribosomal RNA". It matches the Rfam family "Bacterial small subunit ribosomal RNA", at positions 28 to 507 of the family's 1533-position model. The record is from RNAcentral.